GUAUCAUCACAAUGUGAUGAUAUGAAAAAUAAUACUGAAAUGUAACACUUUAAAUAAUAUUAUAUAUUUUCACAGUAGGUAGUAACAAGCGUAAGAAUAUCUUUUUUCCAGAAUAUGUCCAACUAGUGAAAAUAUUUUAAAGU
Molecule: non-coding RNA, 143 nt
Organism: Callorhinus ursinus (northern fur seal)
Lineage: Eukaryota; Metazoa; Chordata; Mammalia; Carnivora; Otariidae
Source: RefSeq, a predicted model, not a curated record